UGAACUAAAAACAAAAUUGAAGAUAUUUAUAAAGAUGAAAAAUUUAUUUAACCCUUUUAAUUUUAAACAAAUAUGUUUCUCAUUUAUACAAUAUAUUUUAAAACGUGUGGAAACCAACAAUUUAUUAUUUUUUUGGCUCUUUUUAAUUGGCUUGAGCAUGAGGAAUGUGGAAAUAAUAAAAAGGCUUAUACACUACUCUAAUGUGGGCCCUAUUGUCCAAAUAUGUUGAAAUUUAUGUGUAGCAACAUAUCAUAAAGCAAUAUAGUGAUU
Molecule: long non-coding RNA, 270 nt
Filed under: Trifolium pratense (red clover)
Lineage: Eukaryota; Viridiplantae; Streptophyta; Magnoliopsida; Fabales; Fabaceae
Description: long non-coding RNA (TPRA_LNC004936)
Source: RNAcentral